UCUCUGCUUGCGCAGGCAGUCUCUUUAGAGUCCCCAGCUUGACCUGUUGGCAACUAAUGAUAAGGGUUGCGCUCGUUGCGGGACUUAACCCAACACCUCACGGCACGAGCUGACGACAGCCAUGCAGCACCUGUGCAGCAGUCCCGAAGGAAAGGCCCAUUUCUGGACCGGUCUACUGCAUGUCAAGCCUGGGUAAGGUUCUUCGCGUUGCAUCGAAUUAAACCACAUGCUCCACUGCUUGUGCGGGUCCCCGUCAAUUCUUUUGAGUUUCAGCCUUGCGACUGUACUCCCCAGGCGGUAUACUUAACGCGUUAGCUACGGCACAACCAGGGUUGAGUCCGGUUACACCAAGUAUACAUCGUUUACGGCAAGGACUAC
Molecule: unclassified non-coding RNA, 378 nt
Filed under: uncultured Parachlamydiaceae bacterium
Lineage: Bacteria; Pseudomonadati; Chlamydiota; Chlamydiia; Parachlamydiales; Parachlamydiaceae
Description: contains 16S-23S intergenic spacer region
Source: RNAcentral